This 483-nucleotide ribosomal RNA is filed under the name uncultured bacterium. RNAcentral's name for it is "partial 16S ribosomal RNA". It matches the Rfam family "Bacterial small subunit ribosomal RNA", at positions 30 to 507 of the family's 1533-position model. The record is from RNAcentral.
UUGAACGCUGGCGGCAGGCCUAACACAUGCAAGUCGAGCGGAUGAAGGGAGCUUGCUCCUGGAUUCAGCGGCGGACGGGUGCGUAAUGCCUAGGAAUCUGCCUGGUAGUGGGGGAUAACGUCCGGAAACGGGCGCUAAUACCGCAUACGUCCUGAGGGAGAAAGUGGGGGAUCUUCGGACCUCACGCUAUCAGAUGAGCCUAGGUCGGAUUAGCUAGUUGGUGGGGUAAAGGCCUACCAAGGCGACGAUCCGUAACUGGUCUGAGAGGAUGAUCAGUCACACUGGAACUGAGACACGGUCCAGACUCCUACGGGAGGCAGCAGUGGGGAAUAUUGGACAAUGGGCGAAAGCCUGAUCCAGCCAUGCCGCGUGUGUGAAGAAGGUCUUCGGAUUGUAAAGCACUUUAAGUUGGGAGGAAGGGCAGUAAGUUAAUACCUUGCUGCUUUGACGUUACCAACAGAAUAAGCACCGGCUAACUUCGUG